CCUUUGGGAAAAUAACCCUGUCCCUUGACAGUAAUUUUUUUUCUUUUGUUUAUGUGCUUGGAAUUGAGGCCUAUUCUGCCUUACUGAAAAUACUGUUUGGCAGGGAUCUUGUACCAUGUCCUUUAUUAGCAGUGAAGUAAUAAUGUACUGUAAAUAAUCUCAAGCAAGCUGAAGAGCAGGACAAUGCCAUCCACAUGUGCUGUAGAAUGAAAAAUCCUGAAGCAGGAACUGGGGGACUUCCUAUGGAAGUGACUGUGCAUUCUCAAUAUGCCUCAUGUAUUCUCCACACGGAUUGAGAGGUCAGCAGGAAGUGUGUCCAGGAUGAAAGAGAAGGAAGCUUUGGGCAAUGGAGGAAUCCCCAAGAAAAGCAAUGGAAUUUGCUGCAACAGUCCCUGGCUAAAAGGAGAUGAGCAGAAACAUUAUGCUGGCAGGAAAAUGCUCAAGGAUGUAAUUAGCAACAGUGAUAAAAGAACAGGCAUGGAAACAUGA
This 489-nucleotide long non-coding RNA is filed under the name Parus major (Great Tit). Its description in RNAcentral is "lncRNA (ENSPMJG00000000733.1)". Lineage: Eukaryota; Metazoa; Chordata; Aves; Passeriformes; Paridae. The record is from RNAcentral.